GUGCACCAUGGUUGUCAAGCCAGCUGAGCAAACCCCUCUUUCAGCUCUAUUUUAUGCUUAUCUUGCUAAGCUGGUAAGCUUGAAUGAUGUUUAAUUUUGACUGAGUAGAUCCCAGUUGGUUCAAAUGUGCCUUUCUCAACUUCCUUUGAAGCUCAAUUGAUAACAUCUUUCAUGCCCUUGUAAAUUCCUUAUUAGUUUUGUAUUUCGAAAAUCCUAAUUACUAGGCUGGUAUUCCUGAUGGAGUAAUCAAUGUUGUAACUGGGUAUGGACCAACAGCUGGUGCGGCCAUUGCCUCUCACAUGGACAUUGAUAAAGUGAGGCCUAAUUUUCGCCAAAAGAAAUAAGAUCAUCCCAUUUGCCAAUUUACAUGUCUAAAUGUGGUAUUUUUUAUGCUUCAGGUAAGUUUUACAGGGUCUACUGAAGUUGGGCGUUUAGUAAUGCAGGCUGCAGCAACAAGCAAUUUGAAACAGGUUUCACUUGAAUUAGGAGGCAAGUCACCACUCCUAAUUUUUGAUGAUGCUGAUAUAAGUACAGCUGCUGAUCUCGCUCUCCUUGGUAUCCUGUAUAACAAGGUAAAAUGAUGUUUCUUUCUUUGAUAUUACCAGACAUUCAUUCAAUGUAGCCAAUGAUAUUUUCUUCCAUUCUUCAGGGGGAAGUUUGUGUUGCAAGUUCACGUGUUUAUGUUCAGGAAGGAAUUUAUGACAAAUUAGUUCAGAAAUUGGUCGAGAAGGCAAAAGCUUGGGUUGUUGGGGAUCCUUUUGAUCCUAAUGUUCGACAGGGACCCCAGGUAAGAACUGAGAAGUUCACCAAGCAACUGAAUCUGGUUAAGACUUGAAUUUGACUGAAAGCUGGCUAGCACCAAAAAAACUUAGUAAAGAAAAACUUCUUCUACCUUUUCAAAUACCUGCAAGGAAUUAUUCAUUCCCAAAGCUUAUAAAUUCGUGGC
RNAcentral lists this unclassified non-coding RNA (946 nucleotides) under Hevea brasiliensis (rubber tree). Lineage: Eukaryota; Viridiplantae; Streptophyta; Magnoliopsida; Malpighiales; Euphorbiaceae. The record is from RNAcentral.